AUGGUGAUGCCCGCUGUUCUCAACUCCCUAACCUUCUUAUGUGUGCUUGCAGUUCUUGCUGCAAGUCAGGCUGAAGGGCGGCAUCAUGACCCUGAUUGUCCUUCUUUCUCGUGCGGCCCUCUUAGAAAUGUAUCGUUCCCAUUUCGUCAGGCAAGUGAUCCUCCUGGGUGUGGUUAUCAAUCUUAUGAGCUAAUUUGCAGUGAUACCAAGGCCGCAAUUCGCAUCGACGAUGCAACAUACUAUGUGCCUGCCAUCAACUACAGUGGUUCUUCCUUCUGGGUCAUCGAUGCCAACAUGGAUUUAUACAACAGCUGCCCUCUACCUCGGUGGAAUCGGCCUCCCUCUAGAUACCAUUACAACAUGGAAGUCGAAUUGGAACCCCUUUCACGUAGUCAGGCUUGCUUUCUUAAAUGCUCUCGGGAAGUAAAGGACAAUGGCAUGUACAUCAGGUUGCAGGUAGCUGCCGAUCGCACGAUCCAUCCCAUGACCUGGUCUUGA
This 498-nucleotide ribosomal RNA is filed under the name Triticum aestivum (bread wheat). RNAcentral's name for it is "partial small subunit ribosomal RNA". The record is from RNAcentral. Lineage: Eukaryota; Viridiplantae; Streptophyta; Magnoliopsida; Poales; Poaceae.